This 958-nucleotide ribosomal RNA is filed under the name Deontolaimus sp. Ugent CeMoFe6L4E16. Its description in RNAcentral is "SSU rRNA". It matches the Rfam family "Eukaryotic small subunit ribosomal RNA", at positions 46 to 999 of the family's 1831-position model. The record is from RNAcentral. Lineage: Eukaryota; Metazoa; Nematoda; Chromadorea; Plectida; Leptolaimidae.
AAGCCAUGCAAGUCUAAGCUCAAACCAUAUAAUGGUAAAGCCGCGGAAAGCUCAUUACAACAGCCAUUGUUCACUUGAUCUUGAAAAUCCUACUUGGAUAACUGUGGUAAUUCUAGAGCUAAUACAUGCAACAAUGCUCUGGUAGCCCUUCGGGGUGACGAGCGCAAUUAUUAGAACAAAACCAAUCGGGCUUCGGUCUGUCGGUUUGGUGGAUCUGAAUAACUAUAGCUGAUCGCACAGUCUUCGUACUGGCGACGCAUCUUUCAAGUGUCUGUCCUAUCAGCUGUCGAUGGUAUUCUAUACGAUUACCAUGGCUGUAACGGGUAACGGAGAAUAAGGGUUCGACUCCGGAGAGGGAGCCUGAGAAACGGCUACCACAUCCAAGGAAGGCAGCAGGCGCGCAAAUUACCCACUCUCGGUACGAGGAGGUAGUGACGAAAAAUAACGAGGCGGUUCUCUAAGAGGCCCGCUAUCGGAAUGGGUACAAUUUAAACCCUUUAACGAGGACCUAUGAGAGGGCAAGUCUGGUGCCAGCAGCCGCGGUAAUUCCAGCUCUCAAGGUGUAUAUCGUCAUUGCUGCGGUUAAAAAGCUCGUAGUUGGAUCUAUGGUUUUAGGAGCCGGUCCACCCGAUGGGUGCGAACUGGUUUCCAAGCCUCUAGUCGCUGGUCUAUCCUUGAUGCUCUUAACCGGGUGUCCUGGGUGGCUAGUGAGUUUACUUUGAAAAAAUUAGAGUGCUCAGGACAGGCUUAUACGCCUGAAUAGUGGUGCAUGGAAUAAUAGAAUAGGACCUCGGUCCAUUUUAUUGGUUUUGGUCCCGAGAUAAUGGUUAAGAGGGACAGACGGGGGCAUUCGUAUCGCUGCGUGAGAGGUGAAAUUCUUGGACCGUAGCGAGACGAACUACUGCGAAAGCAUUUGCCAAGAAUGUCUUCAUUAAUCAAGAACGAAAGUCAGAGGUCG